UAGGGAAUUUUCGGCAAUGGGGGAAACCCUGACCGAGCAAUGCCGCGUGAGUGAAGAAGGCCUUCGGGUUGUAAAGCUCUGUUGUAAGGGAAGAACGCUGGAGAUAGGGAAUGAUCUUCAGGUGACGGUACCUUACCAGAAAGCCACGGCUAACUACGUGCCAGCAGCCGCGGUAAUACGUAGGUGGCAAGCGUUAUCCGGAAUUAUUGGGCGUAAAGGGUGCGCAGGCGGCCCGAUAAGUCCAAGGUUAAAGCCCGUAGCUCAACUACGGUACGCCUUGGAAACUGUCGGGCUAGAGUGCAGGAGAGGACAAUGGAAUUCCAUGUGUAGCGGUAAAAUGCGUAGAUAUAUGGAGGAACACCAGUGGCGAAGGCGGUUGUCUGGCCUGUAACUGACGCUCAAGCACGAAAGCGUGGGGAGCAAAUA
This 426-nucleotide ribosomal RNA is filed under the name uncultured Erysipelotrichaceae bacterium. RNAcentral's name for it is "partial 16S ribosomal RNA". It matches the Rfam family "Bacterial small subunit ribosomal RNA", at positions 355 to 774 of the family's 1533-position model. The record is from RNAcentral. Lineage: Bacteria; Bacillati; Bacillota; Erysipelotrichia; Erysipelotrichales; Erysipelotrichaceae.